AAGAAUAAGUUAGUCUCGAUGCAAGGUUUUACUGUAUUUGAUGUUCAUUCUUGAGGAUAAGAAAAUGGGAAAAUGCUUUUUCCCAAACUACCAGUAGAGGCUCAGUAAGGGUCUCAGUCCAUCCACCAAACACCCUUGGCUUAUAAGAUGAGCCAAACGGUCUUGGCUUAUCUGGGAAGCCAUGAAAACAGACUCCUCCCAUGUCACACCAUCCUCCUAUCCCGGAUGACUGACAGCAACCUAGUGACACAGAGAGUUCUUGACCCCCUCCAGCCACUGCAUGGAUUUGGUGUCUACCGUGUUACCGUGGCAUCUUGGAGCGGCUGUCAGGCCCAGACAUGCCCGUCCCUGUCCUGGAGGAGGGCGUUUCCCUAGCUGUGGCCCAAGCUUGCUCAUGUACCAACUGCACCAAAGAAAAGAUAUGUACAAAUGCCAGCAAGAGUUCAGCAAGAGCCGCGGGUAUGAGAAUCUGCACGAAGUGGGGAAGUCAAGACAACCGUGGUGCUGGACUGGGAGCUCGGUGAGAAGGGGCCCAGUCUGAUUUGCCUGUACGUGUGGAGGGUGAUGCUCGUGUCUGCAACACGUGUUAAUUGAACGAGUGGACGUUGAAACGUGCCGGCUGUCGAAAAUUGUAACCAGAAAGAGAAGCUGGACGUGUUGUUUGACAUCUUUCCCGGGAAAACGGGACCGGAAAUCCUAGGAGGCUUCCUGGAAGAGGAGGACCUCUCCGAGCUUUUACAAAGGAGACUCGGAGGCUGAAAUAUUUGCCCGAAGCCAUGCCAUGGGGAGACCUGGUCUGUUCCCACCCCAAGGCCCUGCUCUUCCCUUCAUCACACCCGCAAGACGGGACUGCUCUACAGCAGAGAGAGGGGGCCACCUCCCACCCGGCCCCAGCCUCUCCUCCUCCCAGGUGAGCGGACUGGCAUGAC
Long non-coding RNA from Lynx canadensis (Canada lynx), 929 nucleotides. RefSeq lists it as uncharacterized. The transcript has 3 exons. NCBI's taxonomy places the organism in Eukaryota, Metazoa, Chordata, Mammalia, Carnivora, Felidae. The record is from RefSeq and is a predicted model, not a curated record.